This 465-nucleotide ribosomal RNA is filed under the name Vreelandella stevensii. RNAcentral describes it as "partial 16S ribosomal RNA". It matches the Rfam family "Bacterial small subunit ribosomal RNA", at positions 338 to 795 of the family's 1533-position model. Lineage: Bacteria; Pseudomonadati; Pseudomonadota; Gammaproteobacteria; Oceanospirillales; Halomonadaceae. The record is from RNAcentral.
CCUACGGGAGGCAGCAGUGGGGAAUAUUGGACAAUGGGCGAAAGCCUGAUCCAGCCAUGCCGCGUGUGUGAAGAAGGCCUUCGGGUUGUAAAGCACUUUCAGUGGGGAAGAAAGCCUUGGGGCUAAUACCCUCGAGGAAGGACAUCACCCACAGAAGAAGCACUGGCUAACUCCGUGCCAGCAGCCGCGGUAAUACGGAGGGUGCGAGCGUUAAUCGGAAUUACUGGGCGUAAAGCGCGCGUAGGCGGUCUGAUAAGCCGGUUGUGAAAGCCCCGGGCUCAACCUGGGAACGGCAUCCGGAACUGUCAGGCUAGAGUGCAGGAGAGGAAGGUAGAAUUCCCGGUGUAGCAGUGAAAUGCGUAGAGAUCGGGAGGAAUACCAGUGGCGAAGGCGGCCUUCUGGACUGACACUGACGCUGAGGUGCGAAAGCGUGGGUAGCAAACAGGAUUAGAUACCCUGGUAGUC